GACGAACGCUGGCGGCGUGGAUUAGGCAUGCAAGUCGAACGGUAUCAUCCUUUCGGGGGUGAGAGAGUGGCGAACUGGUGAGUAACACGUAGGUUAUCUACCCUCAAGACGGGGACAACCCAGGGAAACUUGGGUUAAUACCGGAUGUGAGCAACUUUUAGUUGUUUGAAAGGUGGCGUAAGCUGUCGCUUGGGGAUGAGCCUGCGUCCUAUUAGUUAGUUGGUGAGGUAACGGCUCACCUAGGCAAUGAUAGGUAGGCGGCCUUAACGGGUGGUCGCCCACACUGGGAUUGAGAUACGGCCCAGACUCCUACGGGAGGCAGCAGUCGAGAAUAGUCUACAAUGGUCGGAAGACUGAUAGUGCGACGCCGCGUGAACGAUGAAUCCCUUCGGGGUGUAAAGUUCUUUUAUAUGUGAGCAGUGCUUCUUAUAUUAACAGUAUGGGGAGAGAGAUAUUAGCAUAUGAAUAAGCAACGGCUAACUCCGUGCCAGCAGCCGCGGUAAUA
Molecule: ribosomal RNA, 505 nt
Filed under: uncultured bacterium
Lineage: Bacteria
Description: bacterial SSU rRNA
Rfam family: Bacterial small subunit ribosomal RNA
Source: RNAcentral